CUGAAUACAUAGGGUAAGGAAGACAGACCCAGGGAACUGAAACAUCUAAGUACCUGGAGGAAGAGAAAGCAAAUGCGAUUUCCUGAGUAGCGGCGAGCGAAACGGAAAGAGCCCAAACCAAGAAGCUUGCCUCUUGGGGUUGUAGGACAUUCUAUACGGAGUUACAAAGGAACGAGGUAGACGAAGCGACCUGGAAAGGUCCGUCGUAGAGGGUAACAACCCCGUAGUCGAAACUUCGUUCUCUCUUGAAUGUAUCCUGAGUACGGCGGAACACGUGAAAUUCCGUCGGAAUCUGGGAGGACCAUCUCCCAAGGCUAAAUACACCCUAGUGAUCGAUAGUGAACCAGUACCGUGAGGGAAAGGUGAAAAGCACCCCGGAAGGG
This 383-nucleotide ribosomal RNA is filed under the name Salmonella enterica. Its description in RNAcentral is "bacterial LSU rRNA". It matches the Rfam family "Bacterial large subunit ribosomal RNA", at positions 158 to 535 of the family's 2925-position model. The record is from RNAcentral. Lineage: Bacteria; Pseudomonadati; Pseudomonadota; Gammaproteobacteria; Enterobacterales; Enterobacteriaceae.